UACAGAGGUCUCAAGCGUUGUUCGGAGUUACUGGGCGUAAAGAGUGCGUAGGUGGUGCCCUAAGUCUGUUGUGAAAUCUCCCGGCUUAACUGGGAGGGUGCGGUGGAAACUGGGGUGCUUGAGUGUGGGAGAGGUAAGCGGAAUUCCUGGUGUAGCGGUGAAAUGCGUAGAUAUCAGGAGGAACACCGGUGGUGUAGACGGCUUACUGGACCACGACUGACACUGAGGCACGAAAGCGUGGGUAGCAAACAGG
This 253-nucleotide ribosomal RNA is filed under the name uncultured bacterium. RNAcentral describes it as "partial 16S ribosomal RNA". It matches the Rfam family "Bacterial small subunit ribosomal RNA", at positions 524 to 776 of the family's 1533-position model. The record is from RNAcentral.